Molecule: long non-coding RNA, 977 nt
Organism: Passer domesticus (house sparrow)
Lineage: Eukaryota; Metazoa; Chordata; Aves; Passeriformes; Passeridae
Exons: 2
Source: RefSeq, a predicted model, not a curated record
CGCGGCCGAGGGGCAGCAACGAGCUCAGUGCGGGGGGAUGCAGGCUAGGCCCGGCGGAGGCCGGAGACGCUGCCCCGGGGAAGCUGCGGCGGGCGCGGAGACUGGGCUGGAGGCGGCGGGGACCGGCCGCGCACAAGGAAAGGAAUGUUUCUUUCAAAGCUACAACUCUGAGGCUUGGAAUCUCAAAAUGACACAUGGGUCUGAUUUGGAAAAGGGAAUGGGAUGAAAUGCCUUUGCUGAUUCUCCAGGUCCUUUUUCUGUUUCUCUGAAUGAAAUACAAACUCAGCAGAACCUCAGUGUUUAACGUUGUAUCUCUCAAAGCCCUUUCCAAUAAACAGAAAUAAGAGUGAUAGACAGGAAAAUAGAGGAACAGUGAGUUGAAAGAGUCUAUUUUAAUACAAUUAUUUAGAAAAACUCUUUAAGUCCUUGUCAGAUGUAUGUCUCUUGCAGGUGGUUCUUUUAUUUAGAGAAAUCUGAUUUUAAAGGAACAGGUCAAGACCUAGUGCAGUAGUACUCCCUCAUGAUGUUACAGUGCAACCAUAAUUUUGCUCAGAAACAAGAAGAAAUAGUGAACAAUCCACGUUGGUUAUGUAUGUGUAUAUAAACAUUUGUCAUAGCUUAUGAGCAGCAAUGCAAAAUAUUUUUAAAUAUAUAAUUCCACAGGACAGAGACUUAAAUGUUUUUCUGAGAUGUGGAGGAAGUUCUAGUUACUGGUUUUGAUGGUUAUCAAAUCUCCCAAGAAAAAAGUGAUAAAUCACAAUUGGUUUGCUCCUAGCCUCAGGCAGUGGGAGACAAAGAGAUCUUCUGUUCUGGGGUUUUUUUGAAAGAAAGAGUAGUGUUUUAUAAUCACAGAUUCAUUUAAGUUGGGAAAAACCUUUAGGAUGAUCAAGUCUAACCACAAACCUAACACUGCCAAAUCCACCUCUAAAUUUUAACUUAUGCUGGACUUCAACUCAAAUGGAUGCUACACAGCAGUA